This 216-nucleotide ribosomal RNA is filed under the name uncultured bacterium. RNAcentral describes it as "partial 16S ribosomal RNA". It matches the Rfam family "Bacterial small subunit ribosomal RNA", at positions 28 to 236 of the family's 1533-position model. The record is from RNAcentral.
GAUAAACGCUGGCGGCGCACAUAAGACAUGCAAGUCGAACGAACUUAACCAUUAGUUUACUAUUGGAGCGGUUAGUGGCGGACUGGUGAGUAACACGUAAGCAACCUGCCUAUCAGAGGGGAACAACAGUUAGAAAUGACUGCUAAUACCGCAUAUGCCUUAGAAUCACAUGGUUCAAAAGGGAAAGGAGCAAUCCACUGAUAGAUGGGCUUGCGU